RNAcentral lists this ribosomal RNA (468 nucleotides) under uncultured bacterium. Its description in RNAcentral is "partial 16S ribosomal RNA". It matches the Rfam family "Bacterial small subunit ribosomal RNA", at positions 28 to 507 of the family's 1533-position model. The record is from RNAcentral.
GACGAACGCUGGCGGCGUGCUUAACACAUGCAAGUCGAACGGAAAGGCCCUGCUUUUGUGGGGUGCUCGAGUGGCGAACGGGUGAGUAACAAGUGAGUAACCUGCCCUUGACUUUGGGAUAACUUCAGGAAACUGGGGCUAAUACAGGAUAGGAGCUCCUGCUGCAAGGUGGGGGUUGGAAAGUUUCGGCGGUUGGGGAUGGACUCGCGGCUUAUCAGCUUGUUGGUGGGGUAGUGGCUUACCAAGGCUUUGACGGGAAGCCGGCCUGGGAGGGUGACCGGCCACAUUGGGACUGAGAUACGGCCCAGACUCCUACGGGAGGCAGCAGUGGGGAAUAUUGCACAAUGGGCGGAAGCCUGAUGCAGCAACGCCGCGUGCGGGAUGACGGCCUUCGGGUUGUAACCCGCUUUCGCCUGUGACGAAGCGUGAGUGACGGUAAUGGGUAAAGAAGCACCGGCUAACUACGUG